AGUGAACGCUGGCGGUAGGCCUAACACAUGCAAGUCGAACGGCAGCACAGUAAGAGCUUGCUCUUACGGGUGGCGAGUGGCGGACGGGUGAGGAAUACAUCGGAAUCUACUUUUUCGUGGGGGAUAACGUAGGGAAACUUACGCUAAUACCGCAUACGACCUACGGGUGAAAGCAGGGGAUCUUCGGACCUUGCGCGAUUGAAUGAGCCGAUGUCGGAUUAGCUAGUUGGCGGGGUAAAGGCCCACCAAGGCGACGAUCCGUAGCUGGUCUGAGAGGAUGAUCAGCCACACUGGAACUGAGACACGGUCCAGACUCCUACGGGAGGCAGCAGUGGGGAAUAUUGGACAAUGGGCGCAAGCCUGAUCCAGCCAUGCCGCGUGGGUGAAGAAGGCCUUCGGGUUGUAAAGCCCUUUUGUUGGGGAGGAAAAGCAGCAGGUUAAUACCCCGCUGUUCUGACGGUACCAAAAGAAUAAGCACCGGCUAACUUCGUG
This 492-nucleotide ribosomal RNA is filed under the name uncultured bacterium. RNAcentral describes it as "partial 16S ribosomal RNA". It matches the Rfam family "Bacterial small subunit ribosomal RNA", at positions 29 to 507 of the family's 1533-position model. The record is from RNAcentral.